Molecule: ribosomal RNA, 480 nt
Filed under: uncultured bacterium
Lineage: Bacteria
Description: bacterial SSU rRNA
Rfam family: Bacterial small subunit ribosomal RNA
Source: RNAcentral
AAUCAACGCUGGCGGCGUGCCUAACACAUGCAAGUCGAACGCGAAAGCCCGCAAGGGUAAGUAGAGUGGCGCACGGGUGAGUAACACGUGGACAACCUGCCUUCGAGUGGGGAAUAACCUUCCGAAAGGAGGGCUAAUACCGCAUAACACCUCGGGACACAAGUUCUGGGGUUGAAAAGAGCAAUUUGCUCGAAGAGGGGUCCGCGCCUGAUUAGCUAGUUGGUGAGGUAACGGCUCACCAAGGCUUCGAUCAGUAGCCGUCCUGAGAGGGAGCACGGCCACACUGGAACUGAGACACGGUCCAGACUCCUACGGGAGGCAGCAGUGGGGAAUUUUUGGCAAUGGGCGAAAGCCUGACCAAGCAACGCCGCGUGGGUGAUGAAGUAUCUUGGUACGUAAAACCCUUUCGGCAGGGACGAACCUAAUGACGGUACCUGCGGAAGAAGCCCCGGCUAACUCCGUGCCAGCCGCCGCCGUAAU